This 2023-nucleotide long non-coding RNA is filed under the name Populus trichocarpa (black cottonwood). RNAcentral's name for it is "long non-coding RNA (PTRI_LNC003382)". Lineage: Eukaryota; Viridiplantae; Streptophyta; Magnoliopsida; Malpighiales; Salicaceae. The record is from RNAcentral.
UCCUAACUCAAUCAGAGUUCAACGCAGCAUUAAUAACAAAAUCAACUUCAUAAUAUAAUUGAAUUGUCUUAAUACAAGAGUUUAUAUAAGUUCAGAGUUUUGGAGCACUAACUAAACAUAAAGGAAAAUGUACAAAGUACAACCAAAGAGCAGGUUCUGAAGGUCCAACAAAAUGACCUGCUAUCAAGCUAUAAGCCUGAAAAUGAUAAAUAAUGAGAUGGUGAGUUCAACAACUCAGUGAGUAGAUAACAUUCAAUAUACACACACGAGGUAAUACAGCAAUGAGAAAUAUAUAUACAAGUAUGGCUUUAGGUUCUUAUGGAAGUGUUCUCAAAUUGGUCAUAACAAGAAGAUCAUAUGGUAAAACUCGUCAGAAAAUCAAAAUGCAAUGAGCAUGAGGCUCCGUACUGUGGGAUGAUCAGUCCACACAGGUUGGUGACUCCCCCGACCAACUAGGGUUCAGAUACGAUAUGCACAAAGACUAACACUACCCUGUUAGCAUGGGUAUUCUGAGUGACAUACCAUAGGUUCAUAAUCAUAAUCAAACAGAUAUAUUCAUAUCUCAAGGCUCAACUCAUGACAUCAAUCAAAUGAGGAGCUAUCAAUUCAGAAUUCAAUUCAAAAUAUAUACUGGUUCAUAUCAAGAAUUCAGAUUCAACAAUUGAUCAUGCUUUAUCAAAAUAAGGAUAAUAAUCAACAUAUAUAUUAUCAAGAAGUACGAUCCAAUUCAUAUUAACAAAUCAAAUAUUUAUAAUAUUUCCCAUGCAUAUGGAAAAUUAUCCACUCACCUGACUCGAAAGCAACAAAACUCAAAGCUGAUAUCAAAGGAAAUCCUACUGAUGUCCCGCCGGUAGAAUAUCAGGAUUAUCUGAAUACAAAGGAGACAUAUUUAAGAAUGACUCAAAAGAAUAUAUAUAACCUAUUUAAUACACUUAUCUAAGGGUGUAUUCCGUAACCCUAUAUGUUUUUGAACUAACUAGUUAUCUUUCCUAAAAACCCAACAUUUAACGGUUUUCCCGAAAUCUAAUCCAUAAUAAAACAACUAAUAAAAUUGAUAAUAAUUUACUAAAUAACCCUUAAUUAUUCAUCAAACCAAUCUGCAAAAGCUAGUAUUACAGCUAGGGACUAAUCUGUAAUUUAUCCUAUUUUUAAGGGUCAAAUUGCAACUUUUGUCAAAUUGAAGGACCAAACUGAAAUUGUCAUAAAUCCAUUACUAUACUGAAUUUCUGACCAUAAUUAGUCCUCAUUUCUGUCCAGAUCAUCUCAUUAUACUCCAAGGACCAUUCUGGAAUUUUACCAAAUUUUUAGGGUCAAAUUGGAGGACCAAACUGAAAUUUAUCAUAAAUCCAUGAAUAUACUGAAAUUCUGACCAUAAUUAGUCCUCAUUUCUGUCCAGAUCAUCUCAUUAUACUCCAAGGACCAUUCUGGAAUUUUACCAAAUUUUUUUAGGGUCAAAUUGUAAUUUGUGUCAAAUUGAAGGACUAAAUUGAAAGUGUUAAAUUCUCUUAUCUAUAUAGUAAUUCUGUCCAUAAUUCAUAUGUUAUUCUGUUCAGAAUCUCGGAAUAUGCUUCAGGGACCAAUUUUUAAUUUUCCAAAGUUCGGGGACUAAACUGUAAUUUUCCAAAAUUGAGGGACCAAAUUGAAUUUUCAUCAUCUUCAACCUCCAACUCAGAAUUCUCACAGAUUACCUACUGUUCUUGCCAAAUUUCUAACUCAACAUUCACCAUUUACACAAUUCAUAACUCAAAAUCAUCAUAAUCUUCCAUAAUCAACUCAUUAAUCAAUUACCCAUAACAAUCAACCUUAUAACAUUCAAUUUAAUUCAUCAAUUAAACCCAAAACACAAAUUUUCAAAACCCUAACAUUCAUCAAAACUGAAAUUAAGUUCAAUUAACAUACAUUUAUACAUUUAACAACCUAAAUCUUACCUUUAAACUUAUUCUCUUCAACUCUUUUCUAUUUCCCUUCUAAUUUCCUUCUUUUCUCUUCUUCUUCUUCUUUCUCCCUUCUCUCUCACGGUUUG